AUGACAACCCAGACGUUCUCCGGUCCCUGGAGAAGGAGAACCGAACUAUGCUCAAGGAUCGAAAGGGUGGGUGCUCCGGGCUCAGCUGGGACCUGGGAGGAGUACAAGUCAUUGACAUUCACUAAUCAGGUGACCAAUGAGAUUAUUCGAAUAAGCAAUGCCGUAGUUGGAGUAUUUAGGAAAACUCUUACGGAUGUACAAGUCAACGGCUAUACAAUUCCAGCCGGAUGGCAGGUCAUAGUCAACCCCAUGGCAGUUCAUUUGAACGAAGAAUUGUUCGAAGAUCCACUCAAAUUUAACCCAUGGAGGUGGAUGGAUGAGUCAAAGCGCAGUGCAAUGCUGAAGAAUUUCUUGCCAUUUGGGGCAGGAAUCAGGGUUUGUCCUGCGGCAGAUUUUGUCAAGCUGUUUGUAACACUUACCCUCCAUAUUUUGGUGACGGAGUAUAGAUGGGAAGAAAUGAAAGGAACUGACGAAUUCCGAAGCGCGGAUGUUAUGUUCCCGCAGGGCUAUCACAUUCGACUUAGCCCAAGGACGAUCAAAUGA
Molecule: ribosomal RNA, 543 nt
Filed under: Triticum aestivum (bread wheat)
Lineage: Eukaryota; Viridiplantae; Streptophyta; Magnoliopsida; Poales; Poaceae
Description: partial small subunit ribosomal RNA
Source: RNAcentral